This 254-nucleotide ribosomal RNA is filed under the name uncultured bacterium. RNAcentral's name for it is "partial 16S ribosomal RNA". It matches the Rfam family "Bacterial small subunit ribosomal RNA", at positions 524 to 776 of the family's 1533-position model. The record is from RNAcentral.
CACGUAGGGUGCGAGCGUUGUCCGGAAUUAUUGGGCGUAAAGAGCUCGUAGGCGGUGUGUCGCGUCGGCCGUGAAAACUUGGGGCUUAACUCUGAGCUUGCGGUCGAUACGGGCAUCACUUGAGUUCGGCAGGGGAGACUGGAAUUCCUGGUGUAGUGGUGAAAUGCGUAGAUAUCGGAAGGAACAUCAGUGGCGAAGGCGACUUCCUGGACCAAUACUGACGCUCAGGUGCGAAAGCGUGGGGAGCAAACAGG